RNAcentral lists this non-coding RNA (131 nucleotides) under Palpitomonas bilix. The record is from RNAcentral.
GGAAAAGGAAAGGGAAAGGGAAAAUGAAAAGAAGAAAAACAGAGAGGACAGAUCAGACACGCGUACGCCUUCUUCCUCUUUCUUGUCCAAUGCUUAUGCUUACGUCUGCUCUCUUCGCUUGCAUUUUCGUU